CUACGGGUUGCACCAGUGAGGAAUAUUGGUCAAUGGGCGAGAGCCUGAACCAGCCAAGUCGCGUGGAGGAUGACGCAUUUCGGUGUGUAAACUCCUUUUAUAUGUCAAGAAAAUGACGGUAGCAUAUGAAUAAGCACCGGCUAACUCCGUGCCAGCAGCCGCGGUAAUACGGAGGGUGCAAGCGUUACUCGGAAUCACUGGGCGUAAAGGACGCGUAGGCGGGUUGGAAAGUCAGGUGUGAAAUCCUACAGCUUAACUGUAGAACUGCACUUGAAACUUCUAAUCUAGAGUAUGGGAGGGGGAGAUGGAAUUAGUGGUGUAGGGGUAAAAUCCGUAGAUAUCACUAGGAAUACCUAAAGCGAAGGCGAUCUCCUGGAACAUUACUGACGCUAAGGCGUGAAAGCGUGGGGAGCAAACAGGAUUAGAUACCCCAGUAGUC
This 439-nucleotide ribosomal RNA is filed under the name uncultured bacterium. RNAcentral's name for it is "partial 16S ribosomal RNA". It matches the Rfam family "Bacterial small subunit ribosomal RNA", at positions 339 to 795 of the family's 1533-position model. The record is from RNAcentral.